AUUGAACGCUGGCGGCAGGCCUAACACAUGCCAGUCGAGCGGAUGAAGGGAGCUUGCUCCUGGAUUCAGCGGCGGACGGGUGAGUAAUGCCUAGGAAUCUGCCUGGUAGUGGGGGAUAACGUCCGGAAACGGGCGCUAAUACCGCAUACGUCCUGAGGGAGAAAGUGGGGGAUCUUCGGACCUCACGCUAUCAGAUGAGCCUAGGUCGGAUUAGCUAGUUGGUGGGGUAAAGGCCUACCAAGGCGACGAUCCGUAACUGGUCUGAGAGGAUGAUCAGUCACACUGGAACUGAGACACGGUCCAGACUCCUACGGGAGGCAGCAGUGGGGAAUAUUGGACAAUGGGCGAAAGCCUGAUCCAGCCAUGCCGCGUGUGUGAAGAAGGUCUUCGGAUUGUAAAGCACUUUAAGUUGGGGGGAAGGGCAGUAAGUUAAUACCUUGCUGUUUUGACGUUACCAACAGAAUAAGCACCGGCUAACUUCGUG
RNAcentral lists this ribosomal RNA (484 nucleotides) under uncultured bacterium. RNAcentral describes it as "partial 16S ribosomal RNA". It matches the Rfam family "Bacterial small subunit ribosomal RNA", at positions 30 to 507 of the family's 1533-position model. The record is from RNAcentral.